RNAcentral lists this transfer RNA (65 nucleotides) under Hemiphyllodactylus titiwangsaensis (Titiwangsa slender gecko). Its description in RNAcentral is "tRNA-Cys". Lineage: Eukaryota; Metazoa; Chordata; Lepidosauria; Squamata; Gekkonidae. The record is from RNAcentral.
AAGCCCCGGCACCAUUUGGGUGCGUCUCCAAAUUUGCAUUUUGGCGUGAAUCUACCUCCUGGGCU